AGGACAAGUUUAGCAGCGUUAAGGUGUCUGCUCUCGCUCCGAAAGGCACUUGUGUGUUCUGCUUACCGACACGGUCAUGGUCAAGCCCCUGAUAUCUGGAGGUCGCAGGCCUGCUGGCAGUUGUGGCUGCUUGAAGUCCUCCUUUACUGCCUUCUUUUUGGGAAGGAAACUGUUACAAAAAGAAGAUCAGAGAUUGGGAGAAAGGAUGAUUUUUCUGGGAGGAAAAAAUGAAGGCAUUGUGAUGUGGUGCCC
Lutra lutra (Eurasian river otter) is the source of this 252-nucleotide long non-coding RNA. RefSeq lists it as uncharacterized. The transcript is spliced from 3 exons. NCBI's taxonomy places the organism in Eukaryota, Metazoa, Chordata, Mammalia, Carnivora, Mustelidae. The record is from RefSeq and is a predicted model, not a curated record.